This 580-nucleotide ribosomal RNA is filed under the name Verrucomicrobia bacterium MS-F-88. RNAcentral describes it as "bacterial SSU rRNA". It matches the Rfam family "Bacterial small subunit ribosomal RNA", at positions 107 to 688 of the family's 1533-position model. The record is from RNAcentral. Lineage: Bacteria; Pseudomonadati; Verrucomicrobiota.
UUAGUAACACGUGAGCAACCUGCCUCGAAGCGGGGGAUAGCCUCUCGAAAGGGAGAUUAGUACCGCAUGUGACCUACGGGUUAAAGGCGCCUUCGGGUGUCGCUUCGAGAUGGGCUCGCGGCCUAUCAGCUUGUUGGUGAGGUAACGGCUCACCAAGGCGACGACGGGUAGCUGGUCUGAGAGGACGAUCAGCAACACUGGAACUGAGACACGGUCCAGACACCUACGGGUGGCAGCAGUCGAGAAUCAUUCACAAUGGGGGCAACCCUGAUGGUGCAACGCCGCGUGGAGGAUGAAGGCCCUAGGGUCGUAAACUCCUGUCAUAUGAGAGUAAGGCAUAUGUGUUAAUAGCAUAUAUGUUUGAUAGUUUCAUAAGAGGAAGGGACGGCUAACUUCGUGCCAGCAGCCGCGGUAAUACGAAGGUCCCGAGCGUUAUUCGGAAUCACUGGGCGUAAAGAGUACGUAGGCGGUUUGGUAAGUCAGGUGUGAAAUCCCGGGGCUCAACCCCGGAACUGCAUCCGAUACUGCCAGACUGGAGUAAUGGAGAGGCAGGUGGAAUUCUCGGUGUAGCAGUGAAAUG